GCCUUGGGCAUGGCAUAAAACUGCUCACCGCCAGACACCGCAUCACUUGAUCACUGAUGGCUCAACGGUAUCUGACGGACAACUGAAUACUGUAGCUGCCUUUUGAGCGGGUUUGCUGCAAUCCGAAACGGAGAACUCCGUUAGGACUGCGGUCGGUUUCCUAUGCUCAUUUUUCGGCAGCACC
This 184-nucleotide non-coding RNA is filed under the name unclassified sequences. The record is from Rfam.